CUCCCAGGGCCACCAUGGGGUCAUCCAGGAGCCUCCCAGGGCCACCAAGAGUCCUCCCAGGGCAACCAAAGGCCACCCAUGGCCACCAAGAAUCCUCCAAGGGCCAUCAAAAACCACCUGUGGCCACCAAGGGGUCAUCCAGGAGCCUCCCAGGGCCAACAAAGGCCACCCAUGGCCACCAUAGGGUCACCAAAAGUCACCAGGAGGCAGCCAAGUCCAACAGGAGACAAACAGGGCCACUGAGAGCCAUCGAGGGCCACCAGGGGGCUUCCCAGGGCCACCCGGAGUCCUGAAAGGCCACCAAGGAUCCUUCAAGGGCCAUCAAAAACCACCCAGGGCUACUAAGGGUCCUCCUAGGGCUACCAUGAAGUCAUCCAGGAGCCUCCCAGGGCCACCAAAGGCCACCCAUGGCCACCAUAGGGUCAUCCCAGGGCCAUCAAAAACCACCCAGGGCUACUAAGGGUCCUCCCAGGGCCACCAAAGGCCAUCCCAGGGCCACCAAGGAUCCUCCAAGGGCCAUCAAAAACCACCUAUGGCAACCAAGAGUCCUCCCAGGGCCACCAAAGGCCAUCCAGGGCCACAAAGGAUCCUCCAAGGGUCAUCAAAAACCACCCAGGGCUACUAAGGGUCCUCCCAGGGCUACCAUAGGGCCAUCCAGGAGCCUCCUAGGGCCACCAAAGGCCACCCAUGGCCACCAUAGGGUCAUCCCAGGGCCAUCAGAAACCACCCAGGGCCACCAAGAGUCCUCCCAUGGCCACCAAAGGCCACCCAUGGCCACCAAGGGUCCUCCAAGGGCCAUCAAAAACCACCCAGGGCUACUAAGUGUCCUCCCAGGGCCACCAUAGGGUCACCAAAAGUCACCAGGAGGCAGCCAAGGCCAACAGGAGACAGACAGGGCCGCUGAGAGCCAUCGAGGGCCACCAGGGGCCUUCCCAGGGCCACCUGGAGUCCUCAAAGGCCACCAAAGAUCCUUCAAGGGCCAUCAAAAACCAGCCAUGGCGACCAUGGGUCAUCCCAGGGCCAUCAAAAACCACCCAGGGCUACUAAGGGUCCU
RNAcentral lists this long non-coding RNA (1054 nucleotides) under Phasianus colchicus (ring-necked pheasant). RNAcentral's name for it is "lncRNA (ENSPCLG00000016574.1)". The record is from RNAcentral. Lineage: Eukaryota; Metazoa; Chordata; Aves; Galliformes; Phasianidae.